Long non-coding RNA from Eriocheir sinensis (Chinese mitten crab), 941 nucleotides. RefSeq lists it as uncharacterized. The record is from RefSeq and is a predicted model, not a curated record. The transcript has 4 exons. Lineage: Eukaryota; Metazoa; Arthropoda; Malacostraca; Decapoda; Varunidae.
CAGGUGAUGAUGAAGCGCACUUUUUCGAGGGCCCGCCCACUUGUCCACUCUGCCGCCGCCCGUGCAGGCACACUGACCAGAGGGGCACCCGCGUGAAGCUGGCUGGUAGAGGAGUGACGGAGGGUUGCACUGGAGGAGAGAAUACCGGCUUCCCCAAGAGUCAAGGACACUUACGUCGUCGCCUUUGAACUUCAAGAGCACCUUCACCGUCUAAGUCAUCCUGGGUGUGGGGUGCGGCGUCUCUUCCCAUCAUAUCCCAGAACUUCAAGAACACCUUCACCGUCUAGGUCAUCCUGGGUGUGGGGUGCGGCGUCUCUUCCCAUCAUAUCCCAGAACUUCAAGAGCACCUUCACCGUCUAAGUCAUCCUGGGUGUGCGGUGCGGCGUCUCUUCCCGUCAUAUCCCAGAACUUCAAGAGCACCUUCACCGUCUAAGUCAUCCUGGGUGUGGGGUGCGGCGUCUCUUCCCAUCAUAUCCCAGAACUUCAAGAGCACCUUCACCGUCUAAGUCAUCCUGGGUGUGCGGUGCGGCGUCUCUUCCCAUCAUAUCCCAGAACUUCAAGAGCACCUUCACCGUCUAAGUCAUCCUGGGUGUGCGGUGCGGCGUCUCUUCCCAUCAUAUCCCAGAACUUCAAGAGCACCUUCACCGUCUAAGUCAUCCUGGGUGUGGGGUGCGGCGUCUCUUCCCGUCAUAUCCCAGAACUUCAAGAGCACCUUCACCGUCUAAGUCAUCCUGGGUGUGGCGUGCUGCUUCUCUCCUUCAUCCCCUGGUCAUGGAGAAACUCUUGCCGCCGCGACAGCAGGAGGGUCGCUCGCCUGAUGGUGUGCAGCGCAAAUGGCUCGUGCAUCUCCGGACGAGGCCAAAGUUUGGUGAUCGUUGGGGGUUGGUUGGCUGGUGGUGGGAGCCGCAGCACUCGCCUGGAAGAAAGGAAAACGAGUGAAA